Small nuclear RNA from Pteronotus mesoamericanus, 107 nucleotides. The record is from RefSeq and is a predicted model, not a curated record. NCBI's taxonomy places the organism in Eukaryota, Metazoa, Chordata, Mammalia, Chiroptera, Mormoopidae.
GGGCUAGCUUUGGCAGCACAUAUACUAAAAUUGGAAUGAUACAGAGAAGAUUAACAUGGCCCCUGUGCAAGGAAGACAUGCAAAUUCGUGAAGCGUUACAUAUUUUU